RNAcentral lists this ribosomal RNA (555 nucleotides) under Mylodon darwinii. RNAcentral describes it as "16S ribosomal RNA". It matches the Rfam family "Bacterial large subunit ribosomal RNA", at positions 1816 to 2601 of the family's 2925-position model. Lineage: Eukaryota; Metazoa; Chordata; Mammalia; Pilosa; Mylodontidae. The record is from RNAcentral.
CACCUCUAGCAUAACAACUAUUAGAGGCACUGCCUGCCCAGUGACAUAUGUUAAACGGCCGCGGUACCCUGACCGUGCAAAGGUAGCAUAAUCAUUUGUUCUUUAAUUAAGGACUUGUAUGAAAGGCCCAACGAGGAUUUUACUGUCUCCUGCUUCCAAUCAGUGAAAUUGACCUCCCCGUGAAGAGGCGGGGAUAGACCUACAAGACGAGAAGACCCUAUGGAGCUUCAAUUAAUUAGCCUAACUGCAAUUCUCACAAACCAACAGGAAUUAACCACCUGCAGCCUAGCCUAACAAUUUCGGUUGGGGUGACCUCGGAGCACAAACAAACCUCCGAAUGGCUACAUACUCAGACCUUACCAGUCGACGUACCUCAAUACCAUUAAUUGAUCCAAGCAAUUGAUCAACGGAACAAGUUACCCUAGGGAUAACAGCGCAAUCCUAUUUCAGAGUCCAUAUCGACAAUAGGGUUUACGACCUCGAUGUUGGAUCAGGACACCCUAAUGGCGCAACCGCUAUUGAUGGUUCGUUUGUUCAACGAUUAAAGUCCUACGU